GACAUGACAGUCGAGCGGGGGAGGUAGCUUGCUACCGGACCUAGCGGCGGACGGGUGAGUAAUGCUUAGGAAUCUGCCUAUUAGUGGGGGACAACAUCUCGAAAGGGAUGCUAAUACCGCAUACGUCCUACGGGAGAAAGCAGGGGAUCUUCGGACCUUGCGCUAAUAGAUGAGCCUAAGUCGGAUUAGCUAGUUGGUGGGGUAAAGGCCUACCAAGGCGACGAUCUGUAGCGGGUCUGAGAGGAUGAUCCGCCACACUGGGACUGAGACACGGCCCAGACUCCUACGGGAGGCAGCAGUGGGGAAUAUUGGACAAUGGGGGGAACCCUGAUCCAGCCAUGCCGCGUGUGUGAAGAAGGCCUUAUGGUUGUAAAGCACUUUAAGCGAGGAGGAGGCUACUCUAGUUAAUACCUAGAGAUAGUGGACGUUACUCGCAGAAUAAGCACCGGCUAACUCUGUGCCAGCAGCCGCGGUAAUACAGAGGGUGCGAGCGUUAAUCGGAUUUACUGGGCGUAAAGCGUGCGUAGGCGGCUUAUUAAGUCGGAUGUGAAAUCCCCGAGCUUAACUUGGGAAUUGCAUUCGAUACUGGUGAGCUAGAGUAUGGGAGAGGAUGGUAGAAUUCCAGGUGUAGCGGUGAAAUGCGUAGAGAUCUGGAGGAAUACCGAUGGCGAAGGCAGCCAUCUGGCCUAAUACUGACGCUGAGGUACGAAAGCAUGGGGAGCAAACAGGAUUAGAUACCCUGGUAGUCCAUGCCGUAAACAAUGUCUACUAUCCAUUGGGGCCUUUGAGGCUUUAGUGCCGCAGCUAACGCGAUAAGUAGACCGCCUGGGGAGGACGGUCCCGAGACUAAAACUCAGAUGAAUUGACGGGGGGCCGCGCCCCCGUGGGAGCAUGUGGUUUGAUUCUAUGCUACGCGAAGAGCUUACCUGUUCUUGAGAUCCUGGAAGACUUCCAGAAAUGGAGUGGUGG
RNAcentral lists this ribosomal RNA (969 nucleotides) under Acinetobacter baumannii. RNAcentral describes it as "bacterial SSU rRNA". It matches the Rfam family "Bacterial small subunit ribosomal RNA", at positions 52 to 1017 of the family's 1533-position model. Lineage: Bacteria; Pseudomonadati; Pseudomonadota; Gammaproteobacteria; Moraxellales; Moraxellaceae. The record is from RNAcentral.